AGCACUAGGCCCCUGGAAGGUUUGAGCAUUCAACUGUGUAAAGGAAGUAUCCCAUCUUUCAACAUUUCUAUACCACUUGAGCUGAGGAAUUCCAACCUGUCACACUCGGUUUAGGUGGUAUUCGUAGUAUAUGAAUGAAUGCAGAUAGGCUCAUUUAUCUUGUUGCAUAGAUAUAUGUGCAUGUAUAAACUUAUAUCACUGUAUUGGUAUUUAUGCAUAUAUAAAAUAAAUGUAUACAUACUAUGACAAACUUUAUGUUUAAUAUUUUUAUAUUUUGUUUUAAUCUUACGACAAUUCAAUCUGUUUCUCUCCCCUCCCCCCUCCAUGUAGCUGUUUAAUUAAAAAUAUGCAUGGUUACUUUUUCAGUUGGGUGAUCAUCAUAUAUAGUUUGUGUUAUUUAGUUUCUUAAUUACUGAUUUUUUCCUUAUUUUUGUUUGUUUGUUUGUUUGUUUUUGCUUUUAAGACCGGGUUUCUCUGUGCUCCUUGCUAUCCUGGAAUUCACUAUAAAGACCAUGCUAGUCUCAAUCAGACUCAUAGAGAUCCACCUGCCUCUGCCUCCUGAGUGCUGGGAUUAAAGGCGUGCGCUACCACCACCCAGUUUGAUGUUUUCUUAACAGGGAGCAUUGUAUUUCUUUUAUUUUCAAUAGUGUUGGCAAGAAAUGAAUGACUUUUUGCUUUCUAGAACAAUGGAAAGCAUACUUCUUCAUUUGUGACAUUUAUGCUUGGGAAGAUAAAGUGGUAAAAGUCAGCAUCUACUUACAUUUUCUCAUUGUGCAACAGUUAAAAGCUUUCUGGAGUAGUCUUCCUGAUCGAAGCACAGGACCACACAGGAUGACAUCUUUGCUUAUUGUGAUUUGGUGCUAUUGUUUAGUAGCUGUGCUGGGUCAGGAAGUGCCACAUGAGCUAGCACAUGCAAUAGAAUAGUGAAUAGUAUGCUCUCUCACUGUGUCACAGGUUAGCUAGAGCAAGGACUCCAGAGAAGAAGUCAUAAGCCAGGUGGUGCACACACCUGUUAUUUUUGUUCUUUUGAGGUUGAGGCAUGAGACACAGAGUUCAAGGUCAGCCUGGGUUACCUAUCAAGGUACUAUUUUAAAAUAAAAAAAUAAAAAAACCCAGGAAUUCUUCACAUUUGUGUUCAGGAUUUGUGUCAGUCACGCAGAAGCCCUCUCCAGAGUCCAGUGGCCAUCACUGUGGGGAAAGCUCACAGCCAUGCGUUUUUGCCACUGCAGUGGCUGCCAUUGCAUUUUUUUCCUAGGCAAUGCUACUGUCCACAAGGAUGUCAGAAUGCAGGGGUUUCUCAGGAUGCAGGUAACUGCUCAAAAACUUUACUACUAUCUGAUGACACUAAAGCAAACCACAUGCUUCUAUUUUACCUCUCAGAUAAUCCUUCUCACAGUUGGACAUCACGAGCUUGUACCCAUCUGUGAGUCUCUGCUAACAAACAGCAUUGCCAACAAAAAUAAUGCUGAGGGCAGAUAGCUCGCAGCCACGUGCUCUUAAACAUACGGAAAGAUUUUGAUGUUGGGGUUUUGAGUUUGUGAAUUUCCCCAGACUGCUGUCUGGCUAGUCUUGACAUUCUGAGUCAACCCUGUUUUUAGGAAGGAACACUUUGCUGGGUAACAUGCUACGUGCAACUGUUUAUCUGCAUCAGGGAUUUCUCCCUAGAGCUUAGAACAAAAUGAUUAUCAGUGGCAGAAAGUUUGGAACAGAAAUCUGAAGCUGUGGUCAUAUGGCAGAUAAAAUAUUACUAGAGAAUGCUUAUCUUGUUAAUAUAAAUAAUAAAAGGCAUCAGAUUUUAUGCUCUGCUCUGAGGCUUAUUCAGAUGCUAAUGAGAGUCGAGUCAUAGCUGAAAGUAUUUAGGGAAUUUUGCCUUGCCUCUUAAUGGCUUGGUCUUGACUAGCUUCAGUGAGGGGUUAUUGGUGUUCAUAGUGAGUCAUCUUGAUUUAGGGCUUAUGCACCAAGUGGUGAUGUGCUGAACAAGCCCUCUCUCAGCAUGGCUCUCCAGAAAGCCCUUGCCAGAUGAAGCUCAGAACAACUGGUGAGGCCUCUUGGGUUUGUGUGUAUCUUUGUGCAUCUCGUGAGUGCCUGAGAGUGCUGUAACACCUGCUGUGAACCCCAUCUCUGGCCUUUAGGAAGAAUGAGAGCUAGUGUGUGCACAGAAGCUUCUCCUCUGAUGCCUAAUGGGGAGCUGGAUUGGAUUGCCUGGACUUUUGUUCGCCAGGGUAAUUUAAUCUGUGUAAACAGUCAAGUUACCUAGGGGAACUGGAGAGUGUGGAGAGAGUGGCAUUGCACCUGCAGCCUGGUUACAAGUCACAGUAGUGGACUUACAAUGCACACAGCUUGUCUUUAAGCCACAGAAGCCCAACGCACUGAAGAGGCUUCCAGUCACAUUUGAUAUUCUACGUAACUAAAAUCUCCUAUUGGGAAAGGAGGUGCAGACCCAUGGGAGGUGAUGCUUGACACUGAGGAAAGCAGAGUCUGUCCUCUAGAAAGUGGAAACACAAGGACACGAGGACUGUGUCAUAGCGAUUAUCCCCACUUUCACAGAGGGUGCAGUUUCUUUAUGACUUAUGUAUUUUUUUAAAAGCAGAAAAAAGCCUCUGAAAUCAAAUGAUAUACAGGGAUUUUUUUCAAAUAUGGGCAUUUUCUACUGUGCAGUCAAGAGAUUAUAUGGAAUUUAGCUGUGUAAAAUGUGCUGUCUCCUUACCUUAUAGUUAUCAAAACCAAUGG
RNAcentral lists this long non-coding RNA (2730 nucleotides) under Mus musculus (house mouse). RNAcentral describes it as "long non-coding RNA chr6:61231733-61234463". Lineage: Eukaryota; Metazoa; Chordata; Mammalia; Rodentia; Muridae. The record is from RNAcentral.